RNAcentral lists this ribosomal RNA (254 nucleotides) under uncultured bacterium. RNAcentral describes it as "partial 16S ribosomal RNA". It matches the Rfam family "Bacterial small subunit ribosomal RNA", at positions 524 to 776 of the family's 1533-position model. The record is from RNAcentral.
UACGGGGGGAGCAAGCGUUGUUCGGAUUUACUGGGCGUAAAGGGCGCGUAGGCGGUCAGCACAAGUCAGUUGUGAAAUCUCCGGGCUUAACUCGGAAAGGUCAACUGAUACUGUGCGACUAGAGUGCAGAAGGGGCAACUGGAAUUCUCGGUGUAGCGGUGAAAUGCGUAGAUAUCGAGAGGAACACCUGCGGCGAAGGCGGCUCUCUGGACCACAACUGACGCUGAGGCGCGAAAGCUAGGGGAGCAAACAGG